This 242-nucleotide long non-coding RNA is filed under the name Salvia miltiorrhiza (redroot sage). RNAcentral's name for it is "long non-coding RNA (SMIL_LNC003716)". The record is from RNAcentral. Lineage: Eukaryota; Viridiplantae; Streptophyta; Magnoliopsida; Lamiales; Lamiaceae.
GCAAAGCCACAUCAGAUAGAUAUCAUACUAAAAUUUAAACAUUUUAUGGCAAGACAAUAUUUGAAAUAACUUCAAUUAAUUUAGUCAUGAAAUAACUUGCUUAAACGUAACAUUUAAACUCAUUUGAUAUAUAUGAAAGUAAUGCCCACCUGAUAGAAAUUUUCUGUGGUACAGUAGCUCCUUGACUGAUUAUUAAUCUCGUGUUUGACCUUUAUUACGAGAAUAUAAAUAAGAUACUGCUC